UACGCGAGCUACGCUGCGUUCAUAAAGUCUAUGUGAUACCCCUGUGAUUCUCUGAGUUCCCCCUGAGGAUCUGUACAGAACGUAUUGUAAAGAACUAGUUUUAGAAGCUGUUUACAGUCCGACUACGCAUGCGCAAGUUCUCUGCGUGGAAGCGAGCAGUUUCUACUUCAGUAUAUAGUUGUAUUUCAUGUAAAGUUCGUCGAUUAUUAAAACCGUGUGAGAUUCUAGGACCACUGCGAUUGAAGGCUUAGAGAAAUAAACGUUCGGAACCUUAUUAUCAUCCUUUUGUCAUGGAGAGCGUUGAGAGAAGGAAGCCUUACAAUCCUAUCCAGAGAAAUACCACUCG
Eurytemora carolleeae is the source of this 346-nucleotide long non-coding RNA. RefSeq lists it as uncharacterized. The transcript has 2 exons. The record is from RefSeq and is a predicted model, not a curated record. Lineage: Eukaryota; Metazoa; Arthropoda; Copepoda; Calanoida; Temoridae.